This 253-nucleotide ribosomal RNA is filed under the name uncultured bacterium. RNAcentral's name for it is "partial 16S ribosomal RNA". It matches the Rfam family "Bacterial small subunit ribosomal RNA", at positions 524 to 776 of the family's 1533-position model. The record is from RNAcentral.
UACGUAGGUGGCAAGCGUUGUUCGGAAUUAUUGGGCGUAAAGGGCGCGUAGGCGGCUACUUAAGUCGGAUGUGAAAGCCCCUGGCUCAACUGGGGAAGUGCACCCGAAACUGAGUGGCUUGAGUACUAAAGAGGGUCGCGGAAUUCCCGGUGUAGAGGUGAAAUUCGUAGAUAUCGGGAGGAACACCGGUGGCGAAGGCGGCGACCUGGGUAGAUACUGACGCUGAGGCGCGAAAGCGUGGGGAGCAAACAGG